GGGGAUUUAGCUCAGUGGUAGAGCGCUUGCCUAGCAAGCACAAGGCCCUGGGUUCGGUUCCCAGCUCCA
Rattus norvegicus (Norway rat) is the source of this 69-nucleotide non-coding RNA. NCBI's taxonomy places the organism in Eukaryota, Metazoa, Chordata, Mammalia, Rodentia, Muridae. The record is from Rfam.